AACCAAUGGAAGAACAUGCUGCCUGGUAAGUAGUAGAUACAGGCGCAUUGCCGAAGGCGCAACACCCGUAACCGCUCAGGCUCAAGAACUGUUGGCACAGG
RNAcentral lists this non-coding RNA (101 nucleotides) under Candidatus Nitrotoga sp. 1052. RNAcentral's name for it is "Glycine". It matches the Rfam family "Glycine riboswitch aptamer". Rfam says of the family: This family represents the bacterial glycine riboswitch. Glycine riboswitches usually consist of two metabolite-binding aptamers domains with similar structures in tandem. The aptamers cooperatively bind glycine to regulate the expression of downstream genes. Lineage: Bacteria; Pseudomonadati; Pseudomonadota; Betaproteobacteria; Nitrosomonadales; Gallionellaceae. The record is from RNAcentral.